UCUAAUUGUUUAUCUUAUGGGUGUUGGUUGAGGUUUGACCCUAGUGGGAUUGGGUGUUUUUGGAUGGGUUGAGCUCCUAGUGUCAUAGUGAGUAACUUUCCUCAGGUUCAAGUAGGAACCGACUUCCUUACAUAUUUUGUUGAUUUGCUAAAUUGUGGAAUUGUGCUCUCGAAAGUGAAAUGUUUUGUUUUAAAAUCAUGUGAACUUGAUCGUCCACAGUUCACAGAUAAGAAAAAGGUUUCUUUUAAUAUUUAUUAAUUUUCUUGAGCCUUUCCCGAUUGUAGCUAUAUUGACGUUAAUGACAUUUAUAUAUAUGUUCAUGGAAGUUUUUGUGCUUGGUGAAAUUUUGUGACAUGUUCACAUUUGCCGUAUAAUGUUUUGAUCAUUUAAAGAAUUGAAUUGGGGAGGAUACAUGGCUAUAAGCUUGAUUUUAGCGUGUGUCUUUUGUUGAGAGUCGGUGGAUUGUUAGAACAUGUAAUUUGGAAUUGUGUGAUGAAUCUGUGUGGAGAUCUGUGUAGAUGAUCUCUGUGAUGAAUCUGUGUAGAUGAUCUAUGUGAUGAUCUUGAGUAGAUGUUGUGGUUUGGCUUGUGAUUUAACUUAGGAGUCUUGAAGAAGAAUUAUUUGGUUUGUUUGUGUAAGGGAUUUAAUUCAUGAGAUUAUUUUGAUUUAUUACUUUGUUAAGGUGGUGGUUGUUUAUUUGGGGGAGCGGGUGGCUCCAGGAGAUGUGGAUUAUUUUGUUUUCGAAGUGUUUGGGUUUUGGUGAAUUUUCUUUCAGGUAGGGUUAACCAUUUUCAAGGGAGGUUAUGCCAAAAUUUUGGUAGAAUUUCCCUUGAGGUGGGUCCUGCAAGGUUUAUCCAGGAUUUCAAAGGGAAAUCCGGGGCAGGUCCUAUCAAUUUGCAAUGUAGUGGUAGUAUAAUUCACAGGGACGAGUUUUGCGAACCGUUCAGUUACCACCAAGUGGGGUGGUAGUGUGAGUUCAUAUCAGGUUUCAGGUGACCAAGACAACGAAAAGCGGUGUGGUUACAUUCGUUGUUGAUGUUCGACUUGAUUUUCUAGGAAUUGUAUGACAAA
This 1071-nucleotide long non-coding RNA is filed under the name Fragaria vesca (wild strawberry). Its description in RNAcentral is "long non-coding RNA (FVES_LNC005656)". Lineage: Eukaryota; Viridiplantae; Streptophyta; Magnoliopsida; Rosales; Rosaceae. The record is from RNAcentral.